UUGAAAGCCAUAAUCUCGUGAAGUCCUGCAGAUCUGGAUCAGGCUGAGGGAUCUGCAUCCAACAGGGUUUAACGAGGACCAGCGCUGAGCUGAACUGAAGCUUUCAGAAGGAAGUGGCACGGCAGAGGUCAUCUCUAAACGACGGGAAUCUCUCAGGGGUUUCGGCUCUCUUUUGAACUCAGAAUGGGUCCGUCCGGUCUUAUCUGUGUCACACAGCGGUGGGUCUCAGACCCACUCAGACCCCCGUAAACUGCUUUCAAAGGGCCAGAGGAACCAGAACUGAGUAACAGCUUUAUUUCCUAUUACGAUCCUCAUUGCCUCUUUCUGAUGGAUGUCAGCAACAUUUGGGAUAAAUGUGUUAUAAAGCCUCUCG
Molecule: non-coding RNA, 373 nt
Organism: Pimephales promelas (fathead minnow)
Lineage: Eukaryota; Metazoa; Chordata; Actinopteri; Cypriniformes; Leuciscidae
Source: RefSeq, a predicted model, not a curated record